RNAcentral lists this ribosomal RNA (460 nucleotides) under uncultured bacterium. RNAcentral's name for it is "partial 16S ribosomal RNA". It matches the Rfam family "Bacterial small subunit ribosomal RNA", at positions 338 to 795 of the family's 1533-position model. The record is from RNAcentral.
CCUACGGGAGGCAGCAGUGAGGAAUAUUGGUCAAUGGACGAGAGUCUGAACCAGCCAAGUAGCGUGAAGGAUGACUGCCCUAUGGGUUGUAAACUUCUUUUAUAUGGGAAUAAAACGUUCCACGUGUGGGAUUUUGUAUGUACCAUAUGAAUAAGGAUCGGCUAACUCCGUGCCAGCAGCCGCGGUAAUACGGAGGAUCCGAGCGUUAGCCGGAUUUAUUGGGUUUAAAGGGAGCGUAGGUGGAUUGUUAAGUCAGUUGUGAAAGUUUGCGGCUCAACCGUAAAAUUGCAGUUGAAACUGGCAGUCUUGAGUACAGUAGAGGUGGGCGGAAUUCGUGGUGUAGCGGUGAAAUGCUUAGAUAUCACGAAGAACUCCGAUUGCGAAGGCAGUUCACUGGACUGCAACUGACACUGAGGCUCGAAAGUGUGGGUAUCAAACAGGAGUAGAUACCCUUGUAGUC